CUGGGGUGAUAGACGAUCUUGCAGUCAUAGUCCUUCAAAAGAUCCAUCCAGCAUCUCUGUCUCAUAUUUAACUUCCUCUACAAGAAGAUGUACUUCAAACUCUUGUGGUUAGUGUAAAUCUCAAAGGUUUGACCAAACAAGUAAUGACACCAUAUUUUCAGGGCAAAGAUAAUGGCCGUCAAUCCAGGUUGUGAGUAGGGUAGUUUCUCUAAUGCGGUUUUAACUGUUGAGAUCCAUAAGCGACCACUCUACCAUGCUGCAUCAAAAUGCACCCCAAGCCCAAUAUGAAAUGCAUCGUAGUAAACCUAAAACCUUCCAGUGUUAUCAACAAGGAUCAACAUUU
This 343-nucleotide long non-coding RNA is filed under the name Carica papaya (papaya). RNAcentral describes it as "long non-coding RNA (CPAP_LNC008114)". Lineage: Eukaryota; Viridiplantae; Streptophyta; Magnoliopsida; Brassicales; Caricaceae. The record is from RNAcentral.